ACACGGAGGGUGCGAGCGUUGUUCGGAAUUACUGGGCGUAAGGGCGCGUAGGCGGCCUGGCAAGUCUGAUGUGAAAGCCCGGGGCUCAACCCCGGAAGUGCAUCGGAAACUGCCAGGCUUGAGUCCGGAAGAGGAGGGCAGAAUUCCCGGUGUAGGGGUGAAAUCCGUAGAUAUCUGGAGGAAAACCAGUGGCGAAGGCGGCCCUCUGGGACGAGACUGACGCUGAGGCGCGAAAGCGUGGGGAGCAAACAGGAUUAGAAACCCUAGUAGUCC
This 273-nucleotide ribosomal RNA is filed under the name uncultured bacterium. RNAcentral's name for it is "partial 16S ribosomal RNA". It matches the Rfam family "Bacterial small subunit ribosomal RNA", at positions 523 to 796 of the family's 1533-position model. The record is from RNAcentral.